Molecule: ribosomal RNA, 372 nt
Filed under: uncultured organism
Description: bacterial SSU rRNA
Rfam family: Bacterial small subunit ribosomal RNA
Source: RNAcentral
CGGAGGGGGCUAGCGUUAUUCGGAAUCAUUGGGCGUAAAGGGCGCGUAGGCGGCGCGGUAAGUCAAAGGUGAAAUCCCUCGGCUCAACUGAGGAACUGCCUUUGAAACUGUCGUGCUUGAGUCCGGGAGGGGGUAGCGGAAUUCCCAGUGUAGCGGUGAAAUGCGUAGAUAUUGGGAGGAACACCAGUGGCGAAGGCGGCUACCUGGACCGGUACUGACGCUGAUGCGCGAAAGCGUGGGGAGCAAUCAGGAUUAGAUACCCUGGUAGUCCACGCUGUAAACGAUGGGUGCUCGGUGUCGCGGGUAUCGACCCCUGCGGUGCCUUAGCUAACGCGUUAAGCACCCCGCCUGGGGAGUACGGUCGCAAGGCUG